RNAcentral lists this unclassified non-coding RNA (265 nucleotides) under Hevea brasiliensis (rubber tree). The record is from RNAcentral. Lineage: Eukaryota; Viridiplantae; Streptophyta; Magnoliopsida; Malpighiales; Euphorbiaceae.
GUGGCCUGUACCCACUUUGUAUGAAAAGGAAGUGAGAGAGUUUUUCUGCAACAUAGAGUUUACAAGGAUGGGAUUCUGAAUACCGAAGUGAAUGGAAUAACGAUUCACUUAAUUGAGGAAAUUCUAAAUAAUAUUCUGCAGGUUCCCAAGGAUGGAAUCGAGAGUGUUGCCAAAGGAUCUCCUUCAAAACACUUUGUUCAAGAAAUUGGCAGACUUCCCGGAUUGAGUUGUGCUGGCAUUCCAAAGAAAUUUGUCAAGGGAAGAU